CUCCCCUAGGCAUACACAGAGUGUGGUUUACUAACCCUCUAGGCAGUCCCAAGCCAGUCAAGUUGGAAAUUAAGCUACUCAUCUCAGAGAGGAUGGAGAAUAUUUUAUCAUGAAGAACUUAGGGGAUGAUACUGUCUCAAGAGGAAACAUCCUCCAUUACAUCAACAAAGCAGCUUAAUGGAACAUUGCUCUCCUACAGUUCCCACCCACCAGGGUUCCAAGCCUGCGCAUGUCGUGCUGUGGUCCAUGGGCCAUGACCAAUCACAACACAGCAGAGACCUGGGAUUUGCAUCUGUGAAAUGCUGUCCAUACAUAAAAGCACCACAGUGGGACUAACUGAAGAAAAACGACCUAGUUGUCAGCAUGAACAGAGGGUGAGGGCAUUACCGCCCAUCCUGUGUAACCAGAGCGUCAGACAGCUGCAGCCACAGGAGUGCCACAUGAACUGCCCAGGAGGGACAUGCAGUAAAAUACAUCGCUGUUGUUUUAAUCCACUUAAUCUGUG
Chinchilla lanigera (long-tailed chinchilla) is the source of this 505-nucleotide long non-coding RNA. RefSeq lists it as uncharacterized. NCBI's taxonomy places the organism in Eukaryota, Metazoa, Chordata, Mammalia, Rodentia, Chinchillidae. The record is from RefSeq and is a predicted model, not a curated record. The transcript has 3 exons.